This 184-nucleotide non-coding RNA is filed under the name Acinetobacter sp. ANC 5054. RNAcentral describes it as "6S RNA". It matches the Rfam family "6S / SsrS RNA". From Rfam's summary of the family: E. coli 6S RNA was the first non coding RNA to be sequenced, but its function was unknown until recently. It consists of 184 nucleotides that fold into an extended hairpin structure with a large single-stranded internal bulge. Lineage: Bacteria; Pseudomonadati; Pseudomonadota; Gammaproteobacteria; Moraxellales; Moraxellaceae. The record is from RNAcentral.
AUAUCUCUGAGGUGUUCGCCAGCUAGGUCUAAUCCCCUGCCGAUACUUAAACUUAUGGAUGUGUUCUGUAUAUUCUGAGCGUAUGCCCUCCUUGUGUGGGAAACCCAGCGAGUGUACGUCGCGUCCACCUUGAACUCAUCGGGUUCAGGGUCACGACAUUUGCAGCGGCAUCUUCGGAGCUAUU